RNAcentral lists this ribosomal RNA (253 nucleotides) under uncultured bacterium. Its description in RNAcentral is "partial 16S ribosomal RNA". It matches the Rfam family "Bacterial small subunit ribosomal RNA", at positions 524 to 776 of the family's 1533-position model. The record is from RNAcentral.
UACGUAGGGGGCAAGCGUUGUUCGGAUUUACUGGGCGUAAAGGGCGCGUAGGCGGCGUGACAAGUCACUUGUGAAAUCUCCGGGCUUAACUCGGAACGGUCAAGUGAUACUGUCGUGCUAGAGUACAGAAGGGGCAACUGGAAUUCUCGGUGUAGCGGUGAAAUGCGUAGAUAUCGAGAGGAACACCUGCGGCGAAGGCGGGUUGCUGGGCUGAUACUGACGCUGAGGCGCGAAAGCCAGGGGAGCGAACGGG